Strigops habroptila (Kakapo) is the source of this 239-nucleotide long non-coding RNA. RefSeq lists it as uncharacterized. Lineage: Eukaryota; Metazoa; Chordata; Aves; Psittaciformes; Psittacidae. The record is from RefSeq and is a predicted model, not a curated record. The transcript has 3 exons.
ACUUCAUUUUUAUGUUUGCAGGUUUCUUACACAUCAUUUGUUACUUAAAUUCAGCUGUUGGUUAUGGUGAUAACACAACAUUUUGUUUAAGCCUGUGAGGAUGUUUGACUGUGAGCAACUGUUGAUGGGUAGUGAACGUGUUCAUUUAAUACAGUGUAGUGGAAAUUGGAGAGGGAGGUCUGUAUGCUGGCAUUUGGAGCAUGUUUUGAUACAACACUGAGGGAUUUGUGGCUGCUUCC